This 403-nucleotide ribosomal RNA is filed under the name Verrucomicrobiota bacterium. RNAcentral describes it as "Verrucomicrobia bacterium partial 16S ribosomal RNA". It matches the Rfam family "Bacterial small subunit ribosomal RNA", at positions 355 to 776 of the family's 1533-position model. Lineage: Bacteria; Pseudomonadati; Verrucomicrobiota. The record is from RNAcentral.
UGGGGAAUAUUGCACAAUGGGGGAAACCCUGAUGCAGCGACGCCGCGUGAGCGAAGAAGGCUUUCGAGUCGUAAAGCUCUGUCCCAUGAGAAGAUAAUGACGGUAUCAUAGGAGGAAGCCCUGGCUAAAUACGUGCCAGCAGCCGCGGUAAUACGUAUGGGGCGAGCGUUGUCCGGAAUUAUUGGGCGUAAAGGGUACGUAGGUGGUUUUUUAAGUCAGGUGUCAAAGCGUGGAGCUUAACUCCAUUAAGCACUUGAAACUGAAAGACUUGAGUGAAGGAGAGGAAAGUGGAAUUCCUAGUGUAGCGGUGAAAUGCGUAGAUAUUAGGAGGAAUACCGGUGGCGAAGGCGACUUUCUGGACUUUUACUGACGCUCAGGUACGAAAGCGUGGGGAGCAAACAGG